CUAACUUAAAAAUUCUUUUUAAUGGAAAUUUUUGCCUCCUAACUUAUAAAUAAUACAUAAAAUAAAGAAACCAACAUGAUUUCAUUAAUUAUACAGGAGCGCUCGAGUUUUGACAUGGGCAGCAGUGGGAGAAUGCUAUGAACUUGCCUGGUGUAGCUUCAUUUUGUGUUGUGAUGCGACCCACCAGAUGAAAGAGGGCAUGAUUAAGGUGCUUGCAAUAUAUUGAAGAGUUGCUCCUGCAGCAGAAGUAAUUAUUGUCUCA
RNAcentral lists this long non-coding RNA (262 nucleotides) under Calidris pugnax (ruff). RNAcentral's name for it is "lncRNA (ENSCPUG00000018682.1)". Lineage: Eukaryota; Metazoa; Chordata; Aves; Charadriiformes; Scolopacidae. The record is from RNAcentral.